This 63-nucleotide transfer RNA is filed under the name Labidocera rotunda. RNAcentral's name for it is "tRNA-Lys". Lineage: Eukaryota; Metazoa; Arthropoda; Copepoda; Calanoida; Pontellidae. The record is from RNAcentral.
UACUGAAGUAAUCAAAUUGAUAGAGAAUUUUUAAUUCUUAUAUAGGAAGUGUCCUCUCAGUAG